Molecule: non-coding RNA, 4273 nt
Organism: Pelodiscus sinensis (Chinese soft-shelled turtle)
Lineage: Eukaryota; Metazoa; Chordata; Testudines; Trionychidae
Source: RefSeq, a predicted model, not a curated record
UCGACAAAACGCGGUAGUCUAGACGUACCCCCAGGGAGACUGGGGACCUAAACCUCAUUUCUCCCCUUAGAAAAGAGUUUGAGGGUGUUAGAUGCAACUUCCCUGCUCAUGUCUGCCCUACAGGGGGAGCUAGAGUAUCACCCCUCCCCAGCAGUGUCUGCCUGACAUGGGGUCCUGGAGAGGUGAGGGUAUGGCCGCUGCUCCAGGAUCGGACCCAGCAGGGGAGGGCCCCCAGGCAACAUCAUAUUUUGUCACAACAUACUAUCAAGCUCAAUCCUGCAAACAUUAUUCUUGUGAAUAAUUUGACACGUGAUUACUUCCAUUAAGAUAACAGAGGACUGAGUAAAGCAAAGAGACUGAGGGAAGUCUUGGGGGCAGGGACCUUGGAAGAAGAGCUGGAGUGGGCACAGGGCCUUUGAGGAAGCAGCAGAAUGGAAGAGAGACCUCCAAGUGAAUCACAGGCAGGGCCUCAAGAAGAAGUGGCAGAGGAGGGACAGGGUCAUGUGGCUGAGAAUGGGUUAGGACUGCAGUCUGAGCACCAGUGACCCCACCCCACUUUUAGGGAGUUUCUGACACCCCAUCCAGCUUCCCCACCACUAGAGUCAUGCACUGUCCAAAGCACCCACAGAGUUGGCACAUAGAGAACCCAGGCCCACUGCCUCCUGUGGUUUUCAACUCAGGAAACAUAUUUGAAGCAGCCAGCCUCCAUCUUUCUCAAUUAUUUGCUGCUCCAUGAACUGCCUCUCCUCCUUUGCAAGCUUUUCGUGCCUCUUGCCCUAAUUUGUCCUUUUUGGAGCAUUUGGUUUUUCUGGCAGCUUCUUCCCCAGCCUGUUGGAAGAAUCUUCAUUUUACAAUCCCUUCACCUCACUGAGGGCUGGGCUUCCCUUUUUUCUUCAGCUGUUUUCCCUUUGAUUGAGGCCCUUAGCCUUUCAUCAUGCCUCAGUGCUUCCCUGUCUAAUUAACUGCCUCUUAGUUACUGAGUGAAUUAACUACUUACAGGUGUACCCAAGCUGCCUCAUUUCCCCUCAAGGGGUCUCUCAGAAGAAGACUGGGCCCCUAACUCCAGAAUGACAGCUACUUUCUGACAUAUAAUUUUUAACUAUGCUAUAAAUAGUAAGAGGAAAAAGGAUUUACAUCAUGAUCUAACUACUCCUUACUCCCUUGAGUACAUCUUAUUUUUGCACAGAUUCAUAUUGGCUUAGGGCAAAACUGCAAUUGUGUUCAACCCUAGCUCUCAGAAACUAUGGUAAUUGUUACUACAUAAAUUGCUGGGCUUCAGUCUUGCAAAUGCUUACACAUGUGCAGGAUUAGGGCUUCCUCAUUUGUCUAUAUUAGAAGUUUUUAUUUGAAGUUAUUGAUUGCCUAAUUGUUUGUGGUAGUUAACGUAUUUGUAAUGGCUAAUCUGGUACACUCAAUGUUUGUUCUGAGAUACAAAUUUUGGGUCUUAAGAUAAAGGACAAACACUUGUAUUCUCAAAAUGCUCAGGGAGUAUUCACAUUGCUCCUACAACUAUGUUAUCUACUUCUAUACAAUGUUAUUGUAGCUGUGUUGGUCCCAGGAUAUUAGAGAGACAAGGUGGUGAGGUAAUAUUUUUAUUAGACCAACUUCCAUUUGUGAGAGAGACAUUUACACAGAGCUCUUCUUUAAAUCAGGGAAAUAUACUCAGUAUCACAGCUAAAUACAUGGUGGAACAGAUGACCUUCGCCAAUGGUAGGCAACCUGCAGCCCAUCAGGGUUUCAUGUGUGGUCCACGAGACAUUUUGUUCACUGUUCUCAUGCAUAGGGUUGCCAGAGUCUGCUGGUUUCCGUGAACCUUUUUUUCUAUCAGUAUUACUAAUGUGACAUGCAUGUAAAGGGAAGUGCAUGCUAAUUGCACACAAUAUUGAUUAUGAAAGGCGUGCACUCCCUCUGCAACCAAUAAAAGCGCUGCUAAGUUUCAGUCUGCACACCAUGCAAAUUACAGGUAUGCAAUCACAAUUAGCAAAACUAUCCUAUCUCUGGAGACUGUCUUGGUUACGACAGUCUUGUGGUUCACUGAGACGAAGGGCCACUCAUGCCUCGGUUGCUCAUCCCUGACCUACUCUGAGUAAGUAUUUGCUGACUAAAUCCGUUAACUCAAGUAAAUAACACUGGUGUAGACCUUCGCCAAAGAAAUAGGACUUCUUAGGGACUAAUCUUGUAAAAUGCUGAUCUUCCUCAAUUUGUAUGAAUAUCAGCACCUAAUAGGAUCCAGCUUUAAGCAGGUAAACAUUUGCAUAAUGUAGUCCUUAAGCCAUGGCUUGGUGGACAAAAAGUCCUUCAGGGCUUCUCUACAUAAGGACAUCCAGGAAAAUUAAUUCAAAAUUAACUCACUGUGUGAAUUUGAAGUGGAUAAGUUAAAAAUUGUGAUCCUAUUCUUCAGAAUUAAAGUAGCCUUAAUUUGGUUUAGUUGAAUUCAUUCCCCAAGUGACUUAAACCACAUGGAAUCAGGGGUCACUAUAGUUUUGAAAAACAGUGUAUACACAGGGGUUUAAUAUGGUUUCACUAACCCGCUUCAGAUUCACAGUUGUGGUUAAUUCAGAUUAAUUUUUUAUGGUGCUAUAUAGACAAAACCUCAGUCAUAGUAGUUCAUCGGAGUUACCUUACAUAUGAUUGAAAAGACUUUUUAAGACUGAUGCAGGAUUGAAGCCACAUUAGCUUGUUACAGGCUUGGCAUCUCUACAGUCGUUUAUCUCUGCAUCUAACUAUUUGAAGUUUCCCUUUUGGUAGCUAAGGUUUCAAUUAGGGAACAGCACUAAGAUAAGUACUUUUAAAGUCCUAUGGUUAGAAGCAGUCAAGGCUUAGUUACGCAGACAUUGGAAAGAAAAUCCCGCCUUUCAUGAGUGCUGGGUAGUUUGUUCCUUCAUAGGCAUUGCCAACUGUUAUGGCAGUUGCUCAAUUGGGAAAGUAUCCUAACCCUUCCCCCAAAGUAAUGUGAUUGGCUGAUGAGAGUCAUAGGCAUAGAGUUACAUGGCAUGUCAGCAUAAAAUUCAGGGUGUUUCCUUUUCCCUUGUCUAACAGGUCUCUGUAAAAGCAAAACUAAAAAGACACAUUCCUUUCUGAACUAGAAAGCAAGCUUUUACUACUAAAGCAACUCCAUUUAAGAAAUCGCAAGUUACCCACAAGAAGCAUUUGAAUAGCUGUAAUCAGGAGAUUGCAUUCUAAUAGAAAAAGAAAAUAUUCAAAAGAGCGAGUUUAUUACUUGGCUCAGGGAAAUGAAAAGAAAAGAAAAUAGAGCAACAUUUAAACAGUAAAAAAAAACAUAAACAAUUUUCUUCCCUCUCUAAAAUAUUUCCCUUCAGAAAAUAAAACCUACUCAAGGUAGAAAUAGUUAAGACCAAGGCUAAACUAUAAACUUUUGCCAUCAUAACAUAUAUUGGUCAGGAAAGUGAGGUGUGAUUUGUGACUGAUAUAGCUGUGCCAACAAAAGCCCCUAAGUUAGACAUAGUUAUAUUGGCAAAACUGCACUUUUGCCAGAGUAGGUUAUUUUGCAUGUGGGUGAGGGACUGAAAUAUAAGCGCAGCUUUGUUUAUAUAAGCUGCUCUAUACAUGGCGUGUUUUGCUGCUAUAGUAUAUCAGUUUAGGUAUACCAGGAAAAUCUUUCAAGUAUAAGCCUGGCCUAAGAGGCAGAACUGUUUUUAAAGCUAAAUUCUGUCUUUGGAUAUAUACACACACAUGAAGAGUGUGCACACACGUGUACUUAAUUUAACUUUAAGAAGCUUACUUGAUCUGGCAGGAUCAUAUGCCGGGGGUGGGGAUGUGCAAAGGGUGCAAACGCACUGUCCCAUAUGAUUCCCUUAGACAGCAUGAGGGUGCUGCAUGGCUGCCGUCCUUGUGGUCCACUGCUUGAGCUCAGCUCCCUUCCUUUCCUCCACAGCGGGGAGCCCACAAGGGUGCUGCAGCCUUGCCUCCCUCCCUGCAUAGUUGGAGUGCCAGUACUGGCUUCUUGCUGGGGGGGAGAAGAGAGAAAGCCCCAAGUCUUGCUGCACGAUCUGGCUCAUGGCGAAGAAGUCCUUCUCCUCCCCCUCUCCUGGCUGCGGAAACAGUAGCGUGAAGACCGCAGUGAGGGUCAGGGCUUUCUCUCCCCUCCAGUGGGAAGCUGGCUCUGGCACUCCAAUGGAAUUUGGCCAAUGGGAACAGCAGGAGGCAGUGCCUGGGACCAGCACAGAGUGUGAAGGCAAGUAAAUAUCCCCCCCCCUACAUCCCCUCAUGCCCAGACCUCCACACCUCCAACCCCCUCACACCUCACCACGGC